UACGUAGGUGGCAAGCGUUGUCCGGAUUUAUUGGGCGUAAAGGGAGCGCAGGCGGUGACUUAAGUCUGAUGUGAAAGCCCACGGCUCAACCGUGGAAGGUCAUUGGAAACUGGGUCACUUGAAUAUAGAAGAGGAAAGUGGAAUUCCAUGUGUAGCGGUGAAAUGCGUAGAUAUAUGGAGGAACACCAGUGGCGAAGGCGACUUUCUGGUCUAUUAUUGACGCUGAGGCUCGAAAGCAUGGGUAGCAAACAGGAUUAGAUACCCCGGUA
This 269-nucleotide ribosomal RNA is filed under the name uncultured prokaryote. RNAcentral describes it as "partial 16S ribosomal RNA". It matches the Rfam family "Bacterial small subunit ribosomal RNA", at positions 524 to 792 of the family's 1533-position model. The record is from RNAcentral.